UACGUAGGGUGCUAGCGUUAUCCGGAUUUAUUGGGCGUAAAGGGUGCGUAGGUGGCUUUUCAAGUCGGUGGUUAAAGCCUACGGCUCAACCGUAUUAAGCCUAAGAAACUGGAAGACUUGAGUGCAGGAGAGGGAAGUGGAAUUCUCAGUGUAGCGGUGAAAUGCGUAGAUAUGUGGAGGAACACCGGUGGCGAAGGCGGCCCCCUGGACAAAGACUGACGCUAAGGUGCGAAAGCGUGGGGAGCAAACAGG
This 252-nucleotide ribosomal RNA is filed under the name uncultured bacterium. RNAcentral's name for it is "partial 16S ribosomal RNA". It matches the Rfam family "Bacterial small subunit ribosomal RNA", at positions 524 to 776 of the family's 1533-position model. The record is from RNAcentral.